UACGGAGGGUGCGAGCGUUGUCCGGAAUCACUGGGCGUAAAGGGCGCGUAGGCGGCGCGGGCAGUCAACGGUGAAAGCUUGGGGCUCAACCCCGAGUCGGCCGUCGAUACUCCCGGGCUGGAGCACUGUAGAGGCAGGUGGAAUUCCGGGUGUAGCGGUGGAACGCGUAGAGAUCCGGAAGAACACCGGUGGCGAAGGCGGCUUCCUGGACCGACACUGACGCUGAGGCGCGAAAGCGUGGGGAGCAAACAGG
RNAcentral lists this ribosomal RNA (253 nucleotides) under uncultured bacterium. RNAcentral's name for it is "partial 16S ribosomal RNA". It matches the Rfam family "Bacterial small subunit ribosomal RNA", at positions 524 to 776 of the family's 1533-position model. The record is from RNAcentral.